CUCUGGAUGAGGGGUUAUAGUGGCUAGGAACAUGCUGAGGGAACCCCUUGGCUCUUGGGCCCUGCCGGGACUGCAACCAAAAUGUCUGAGUGAGUGGCUAAGCUCUGGAAAGGGAAGGGAAUGGGAGAGAAGCCACCUGUCCUAGUGUCCCCCAUCUUCUUGAUGGAAACCCCCCUGGCCUCUUACCUGUUAUCCCUCCUGUGGCCACGAUCUCAUGCUCAUGUUGUGGAAAGGGCACCAGCUCUGGAAUCAGUCCCUGGCCCUGACGACCUAUGUGCCCUCUGUGAAGCCAGGUUUAGCGUCUGUGACAUGACUGUAGUGUCUGCAUGGCAGGGUGUUGUCAGAACUGGCAACAGUUAGGUCAAGAAUCCCGCAGGUAGAAGGCUUUCACGAGACACUGGGCCCAUCCAAGGGGAGCAUCCAAUUUUACGCAGCCAUUUUUGCUUGCAAAGCACUGAUGAAUUCUCUAGGCCUUUCCUCAUUUGCUCUUCAUGACAACUUAGAGGGAGGUGGGUGGGUGUCACUAUCCUCACAGGGUACAGAGCCCCUGAGUGACUUGCCUAAAGCCACACAGCCCCUCAUGGGGACAGCCAGGUGAGCGAGCCCUGCAGGACUUCCUAAGGAGCUUGUAGAACGUCCCCCGGACCUCCUUCCUCCACUCUUCUGCUGAGGGUCCCACACACAGCCCCUCAUUCCUGGGACCCUGCUGGGUGGAAUGGUUCGGCUUCUGAGCCUCCCGCAGCCUGGGCCGUGCCCACACUCAGGCGCCUCCUCCGCAGCCCGACUAAGAGGUUUUAUAGCCGUUUACGAGCAAUUUCUGUCCAUAUAUCACCGGAGAUAUAUAGCCAGGCAAAUAUUAGGGACCCAAGUGGAGGUUUUAAGAGGCAAGUUUUACUGCUGCUGAAAGCAGGCGUGAUAGACAGCCCGCGGAGACCCACCUCCCUGCUGCUUGGUGGCCGGGCGGGGGCAGCACGGACUGGGCUUCAGCCUGGAAACCCGUCCACCAAAUCUGAGUGUGGUGUGAGGACCCUCAGAGAUUUCUGUGGGGAGUGGGGGGAGCCAGGGCCAGGCCCUAUUCUUCAGGGAGCCUGGCAAUUGGGUGUGGGGGCGGCGGGAGGAAGGAGUGACCUCUAGGAGCUCUACCUUGGCAGAACGCUCAGCGCUCCUUUGCGGAUAGACCAAGCUGCAAAUCAAGAAUUUAUUAGGAGCUGAGACUCAUUUUCCCACCCUUUAUAGCCCUGACGACUCAGAGCCAAACUCUGGCAAGGGGCUUCCUCAUGGUUUUAAUUAGACAAUUAAUUUUUUAUUGGGUCGUUUGAUUUCCGGAGCCGAUUCCACUCUCCCUCUUAUCCCCCACCUGCCUCCCAGCUGUGAACAGCCAAGGGGAGACGGGGAUUCGGGGAGGGUUGCAGAGAAAAAAGCCUCCAUCUCCCUUUGAGCUGAUUUAGGAGUCAGUGAGUGGGGAGGGGGCGGGAAGCCCUCUGCCACCAUCAGUGGUUUGAGCUCCAGAGACACUAUCCAGAGCUCAGACCUGGGCUCACAGGGCCUGCACAAAGGCAUUCUCAGCUGCCCCUCCCAAGCUUCUCCCAAGCUCUUGGGCUAAUUAGUAACACGGGGUUGGGGUUGGGGUUGGGGGAGUGGGAGGGAAGAGUGCCUGAAAUACACUGGCAGCAUUUCUGUGGUUAAUGCGAGUGGUGCUUGGAGGCUGUUUACCCUCUACCCAGGGAUUAGGAACCUGUUUGAGUUAGAAGGGCAGAGAGAGGCCAGGACUGGGCUCUGUCCCCCACCUGCUUCUAGGAGCUGGGGCGGGGGCGCUGAGCCAGCAGAAAAAAAAGAAGUGGGAGAAACCUGUCUCCAAUCUAUCUACCUUAUUGAUCUUCCUGGCGUCCAGCUGCUGGCCUGCCUUUGAAUCUUGAUCCUCUCCACUCCUGCUUUACCCCUCACCACUGCCCUUGCGGUCAAACAGGAACCUGGCUUGGAAAGGUUGGGAGGAAAGAGGGAAGGAUUGCGGGUUUCAGCAGUGAGGAGGAGCCCGGAGCUGGAAGGGUCCCGGAUACGCGUAGAUGUUCCCUCCGAGAGGGAGUGGAGGUGUCCCCUCCGGAGACUGGGGAGCCCCAGCCCCGUAUUCCACCCUGAAAGGAGAAGAAGGCUAGACUCAAGGAAGAACUUACGCAGGUUCAGUAGCAGAAAUGAGUAGCUCCCUCUUUAGCGUUUGAUGAUUCAUCAAGAUUGAUAUUUUACUGAGAGCACCGUUGCUCAGAGGCCUUAAAAUGGAAUUGUGGGGAGUGAGAGGACUAUUUCCUCAGGUGUCCUGUUGGUGGGGACAUUGUCACUUGUUGUUCCAGCAUAAGGAUUCCUGAAAGUGUGGGGACAAACACACAGGCUGACACGGUCACUCGGAACCAACCUGACAAGCAUCUGCACACACAGAAGUGGGCUCUGGGGCACGUCUGGGGCACGUCUGGGGCCAGGGCUCUGGGGCCUUCACAGAGAGAACAAGCCCCCCGAAAGAAUAAGCCAGGAUUCCACGCAAAGAGAAGGGCUGUAGUGAAC
Molecule: long non-coding RNA, 2553 nt
Filed under: Mustela putorius furo (domestic ferret)
Lineage: Eukaryota; Metazoa; Chordata; Mammalia; Carnivora; Mustelidae
Description: lncRNA (ENSMPUG00000027094.1)
Source: RNAcentral